This 532-nucleotide long non-coding RNA is filed under the name Homo sapiens (human). Lineage: Eukaryota; Metazoa; Chordata; Mammalia; Primates; Hominidae. The record is from RNAcentral.
GCUCUUGCAGUGUUCUCCCCGCAGGUGCUGCAUGGAGUGAGUGGCGGCAUCCACCGUGAGGAGGAGAGGAGCUCUGAUACCCUCAGGACCCGCCAGGAGGGGCAUCACGGAGGCUUCUGGACGACUUGGAGCUGUGUCCUGGGGAGAAAACCGCUCCUGUCUGGGCCCUGAGUGCUGAGGAGGAAGCUGCCAUGCACUUUUCCCUGGCAUUUUUCCUGCAUGGAGAGAGAGGUCCAAGGUGCCCUACAUCGUGCGUCAGUGCGUGGAGGAGAUCGAGCGCCGAGGCAUGGAGGAGGUGGGCAUCUACCGCAUGUCUGGGGUGGCCGCAGACAUCCAGGCACUGAAGGCAGGCUUCAACGUCAGUGAGUGUCGGCCUGCGCAGGACGGGAUGGAGGUGUGGGCAGUGGUGUCCACGAUGAGAUCUCAGAGUGCUCCAUGGCCCAGGCAUGUCACAUCCUUCUCUGUGUCUUUUCUUCAUUUACUGUUUUAUUAUUUUUAAAAAAGAGAAAACAAGAGUUGUACAAACAGCUUC